Molecule: long non-coding RNA, 358 nt
Organism: Chanos chanos (milkfish)
Lineage: Eukaryota; Metazoa; Chordata; Actinopteri; Gonorynchiformes; Chanidae
Exons: 4
Source: RefSeq, a predicted model, not a curated record
GUUAUUUCACGUUGCUCCUCUGACGUAUCAUUAAUCGGAUUCUACGCAGUUGUUGACAAAGUUUGUCUAACUAAAGAAUUGAAAAUGGUUCCUCCGGUGCAAGUCUCACCGCUUAUCAAGACUGCAAGAUGGUCAGCCUUGCUGAUAGGAAUCAUCUACGGCAAACAGAGAUACGAUUACCUGAAACCAAUUGCUGCAGAGGAGAGGAGAAUUGAGGAGGCAGAGAAGAAACAAAGAGAGGAACAAGAGCGCAUCUAUAAACAGCUAGCUGAAGCGAACUCUGACACAAUCCUGAAAUGAAUCCUCACAACAAGGACCAACUUUCUAUUUUUCAAUAAACUGUUUCGUUCAAAAAAAA